RNAcentral lists this ribosomal RNA (253 nucleotides) under uncultured bacterium. RNAcentral's name for it is "partial 16S ribosomal RNA". It matches the Rfam family "Bacterial small subunit ribosomal RNA", at positions 524 to 776 of the family's 1533-position model. The record is from RNAcentral.
GACGAACCGUCCGAACGUUAUUCGGAAUUACUGGGCUUAAAGGGUGCGUAGGCGGCGCGGAAAGUCGGGUGUGAAAUCCCUCGGCUCAACCGAGGACGUGCAUCCGAAACUACAGUGCUCGAGUAUGGAAGAGGGUCGCGGAAUUCCCGGUGUAGAGGUGAAAUUCGUAGAUAUCGGGAGGAACACCAGUGGCGAAGGCGGCGACCUGGGCCAAUACUGACGCUGAGGUGCGAAAGCCAGGGGAGCAAACGGG